AGUGAACGCUGGCGGUAGGCCUAACACAUGCAAGUCGAACGGCAGCACAGUAAGAGCUUGCUCUUACGGGUGGCGAGUGGCGGACGGGUGAGGAAUACAUCGGAAUCUACUUUUUCGUGGGGGAUAACGUAGGGAAACUUACGCUAAUACCGCAUACGACCUACGGGUGAAAGCAGUGGAUCUUCGGACCUUGCGCGAUUGAAUGAGCCGAUGUCGGAUUAGCUAGUUGGCGGGGUAAAGGCCCACCAAGGCGACGAUCCGUAGCUGGUCUGAGAGGAUGAUCGGCCACACUGGAACUGAGACACGGUCCAGACUCCUACGGGAGGCAGCAGUGGGGAAUAUUGGACAAUGGGCGCAAGCCUGAUCCAGCCAUACCGCGUGGGUGAAGAAGGCCUUCGGGUUGUAAAGCCCUUUGGUUGGGAAAGAAAAGCAGCAGGUUAAUACCCCGCUGUUCUGACGGUACCCAAAGAAUAAGCACCGGCUAACUUCGUG
RNAcentral lists this ribosomal RNA (492 nucleotides) under uncultured bacterium. RNAcentral describes it as "partial 16S ribosomal RNA". It matches the Rfam family "Bacterial small subunit ribosomal RNA", at positions 29 to 507 of the family's 1533-position model. The record is from RNAcentral.